This 1372-nucleotide ribosomal RNA is filed under the name uncultured bacterium. RNAcentral's name for it is "bacterial SSU rRNA". It matches the Rfam family "Bacterial small subunit ribosomal RNA", at positions 28 to 1381 of the family's 1533-position model. The record is from RNAcentral.
GAUAAACGCUGGCGGCGUGCCUAAUACAUGCAAGUCGAGCGAACGGACGAGAAGCUUGCUUCUCUGAUGUUAGCGGCGGACGGGUGAGUAACACGUGGAUAACCUACCUAUAAGACUGGGAUAACUUCGGGAAACCGGAGCUAAUACCGGAUAAUAUUUUGAACCGCAUGGUUCAAAAGUGAAAGACGGUCUUGCUGUCACUUAUAGAUGGAUCCGCGCUGCAUUAGCUAGUUGGUAAGGUAACGGCUUACCAAGGCAACGAUGCAUAGCCGACCUGAGAGGGUGAUCGGCCACACUGGAACUGAGACACGGUCCAGACUCCUACGGGAGGCAGCAGUAGGGAAUCUUCCGCAAUGGGCGAAAGCCUGACGGAGCAACGCCGCGUGAGUGAUGAAGGUCUUCGGAUCGUAAAACUCUGUUAUUAGGGAAGAACAUAUGUGUAAGUAACUGUGCACAUCUUGACGGUACCUAAUCAGAAAGCCACGGCUAACUACGUGCCAGCAGCCGCGGUAAUACGUAGGUGGCAAGCGUUAUCCGGAAUUAUUGGGCGUAAAGCGCGCGUAGGCGGUUUUUUAAGUCUGAUGUGAAAGCCCACGGCUCAACCGUGGAGGGUCAUUGGAAACUGGAAAACUUGAGUGCAGAAGAGGAAAGUGGAAUUCCAUGUGUAGCGGUGAAAUGCGCAGAGAUAUGGAGGAACACCAGUGGCGAAGGCGACUUUCUGGUCUGUAACUGACGCUGAUGUGCGAAAGCGUGGGGAUCAAACAGGAUUAGAUACCCUGGUAGUCCACGCCGUAAACGAUGAGUGCUAAGUGUUAGGGGGUUUCCGCCCCUUAGUGCUGCAGCUAACGCAUUAAGCACUCCGCCUGGGGAGUACGACCGCAAGGUUGAAACUCAAAGGAAUUGACGGGGACCCGCACAAGCGGUGGAGCAUGUGGUUCAAUUCGAAGCAACGCGAAGAACCUUACCAAAUCUUGACAUCCUUUGACAACUCUAGAGAUAGAGCCUUCCCCUUCGGGGGACAAAGUGACAGGUGGUGCAUGGUUGUCGUCAGCUCGUGUCGUGAGAUGUUGGGUUAAGUCCCGCAACGAGCGCAACCCUUAAGCUUAGUUGCCAUCAUUAAGUUGGGCACUCUAAGUUGACUGCCGGUGACAAACCGGAGGAAGGUGGGGAUGACGUCAAAUCAUCAUGCCCCUUAUGAUUUGGGCUACACACGUGCUACAAUGGACAAUACAAAGGGCAGCGAAACCGCGAGGUCAAGCAAAUCCCAUAAAGUUGUUCUCAGUUCGGAUUGUAGUCUGCAACUCGACUACAUGAAGCUGGAAUCGCUAGUAAUCGUAGAUCAGCAUGCUACGGUGAAUACGUUCCCGGGUCU